This is a long non-coding RNA of Mytilus trossulus (common blue mussel), 376 nucleotides long. RefSeq lists it as uncharacterized. NCBI's taxonomy places the organism in Eukaryota, Metazoa, Mollusca, Bivalvia, Mytilida, Mytilidae. The record is from RefSeq and is a predicted model, not a curated record. The transcript is spliced from 3 exons.
CGAAAACUCUGAGCAUGCGCACUUUUACCGCCUGAAUUUUGAAAACAGUGAUAAAAGUUGCAGUGAAAUGUUGUAUCUCGAUUCAGAAUCCAGAACAAAGAAAAAGAAUCUUGUAUAAAAAUCCACAGAUCCAAUGUGUGAUCAUGUGUCUGAUGUUGUGGAAUGCACUGCAGUUACAAUACUUACAAUGUAAGCAUGUACAUGUACCAGAUCAAAAAGAUGGACCAAGAUAUAAAAAGAGACUGGAAACCAACACAAGACCAGCUGACGAGAGGGCAGAAAACCAAAACUUUGAAUGCCAUGUAUACAACCAACACAAGACUAGAAUUUGGAAUAAAAUUUUUAAAAAACAGAAACAUACUAUUAUUUUAUUAUU